Molecule: ribosomal RNA, 253 nt
Filed under: uncultured bacterium
Lineage: Bacteria
Description: partial 16S ribosomal RNA
Rfam family: Bacterial small subunit ribosomal RNA
Source: RNAcentral
UACGUAGGGUCCGAGCGUUGUCCGGAAUUAUUGGGCGUAAAGAGCUCGUAGGCGGUCUGUCGCGUCGGCUGUGAAAACACGGGGCUCAACUCCGUGCCUGCAGUCGAUACGGGCAGACUAGAGUUCGGUAGGGGAGACUGGAAUUCCUGGUGUAGCGGUGAAAUGCGCAGAUAUCAGGAGGAACACCGAUGGCGAAGGCAGGUCUCUGGGCCGAUACUGACGCUGAGGAGCGAAAGCGUGGGGAGCGAACAGG